This is a long non-coding RNA of Maniola jurtina (meadow brown), 166 nucleotides long. RefSeq lists it as uncharacterized. NCBI's taxonomy places the organism in Eukaryota, Metazoa, Arthropoda, Insecta, Lepidoptera, Nymphalidae. The transcript is spliced from 3 exons. The record is from RefSeq and is a predicted model, not a curated record.
UAAUAGAACUUAAACAAAAUUUUAGCCAAGCCAAAAUCAUGUUCCACAAGAUGUCCAAGAUCCUCUGCAGCACCAAAUUACAGCUUGAGCUGAGAUGCCGCCUUGUAAAGUGCUAUGUCUGGUCCACCCUCUUGUAUGGUUGUGAAACUUGGGUUCUCAAAAAGGA